CGGGCUGGCAGCAAGAUGGCAGCGCAGCGCGGGCGCUGCUGAUGAUUGGCGGCUGCGUCUUCGAGCCGCAAGGGAACAUGAGGCAGGUGAGAGUGGCCCGAGGCGUUGUGGGGCAACGCCAACCCCGCUGAGGGGGAGCCGCUCUGCAGAUCCGGCUGCGACCUUGAACCUGAACGGACGCAGGGGGGAAGGGGACAAUAAUAAGAGCGUACGUUAAAGACAGAGUCAGGAGGUUGCUUGGUAAACAUGAGUCCGCUCUUCCUCUAGAGAUAAAAACAAAAACAGAAUUACCUGGAAAAACUCAGCAGGUCUGGCAGCAUCGGCGGAGAAGAAGAGUUGACGUUUCGAGUCCUCAUGACCCUUCGACAGAACUCUAGAGAGGUGGCCGUGGAGGGGCUGGCCUGGCAGUGGGAAAGCUGCAGCGCCUCAAGGAGGGGGAAUGCUGGAACGUUUGCAGCCUCCAGGAAAAUUGAUGAGCAGAGGAAUGUUAGCUAGCAGGAAAACAAUAAGCCACAUGGCGAUUAGAAUUACGAGAAUGUGGCCUGAUUUAUAUAUAGCACUGCCAUUAAUCUAAUUACAGCAGUAACCUUAUGGUUAAUUGUGUUUUAAAACAAUCUAGGUAAUAAUCAUCAAGGACUAAUAAUCUCUGCCCACUCGACCAAGGCAUAAGUUCCACUUUCGUUGUUUCAAUCCUAUCCUAUGGGGACAAUGGUGAAGUAUUUCCUCGGUCUGAAUGAUCUGAAGAAUUCAUGGGAACAAGUAUUUGCUGCAUUCUGGCAGCGCUAUCCAAACCCAUACAGCAAGCAUGUUCUCACAGAGGAUGUCAUCCACCGUGAGCUAAUAAUCGGAAGUUGGAAUUUUUCUUGAAAUCAUUAUCGACCUCCACAGAAAUCGUAACACUGGUAAUACUGAAGUAGUACAAGAGUGUUGUGUAUAUGGAAUACAUCCUGAAAAUAAAAACUGGACUCAAAUCAAACGGGAGGCUUGGAUUUCUUCAAACUUGUACGGCUUCUCGUUAGCUAUUCAGGAGUGCGGCCUUGCCAGCUUUAAGAGUAGCAUAAUCAAGACCAUAAAAGGUUUUGAGUACGUUCUGGCUGGAAUGCAAGGUGAAACACCUACAAAGACAUUAAGAGAGACAGCUAAAGAAGCAACCGACAAGGCUAAAGAAACAGCCCUGGCAGCAAAAGAGAAAGCAAAGGAUCUGGCCAGCAAAGCAGGACCGCAGAAGAAACAGCAUUAUGUCUGAGACCUCUGCUUUCACCUUUCCACCUGGGAGAUCUGUCUACUGUGUCUGUACUUGAUAAAACUUUUAUACAACACAAUGAUGUGAAAUGUGUGCACCAUAACACAAAGCUGAAAUAGUGCUGGCUUCUGCCAUGCAGAGCAGUCAAAUAUGACCAAUAACCUUUAAACAUAAUUUCAUUCAUUAAUUAUCAAAUUUUCCAGAAAUUUGGUAAAGCAUCAUUAUUACAAUCCUACAGAUUAAAUAGUGAAUUAUAUGGAAGCUGCCAACAGAAUCAAUGUUAAGUAUUUAUAAUGAGCAAUGAAUUAACAAAGGAACUUGAGGGCAAUUAAUGAUUGGUAAUAAAUGCUGGCCUUGCCAGUGGCACCCACAUCCCAAGAAGAAAUGAAAAAAAAAUGCUUCUGUCCCUGGAUAAACUCAUCAAGCUGUUCUGUUUGCAGAAUGUUAUUUUAAGGACAUGUGGACAAAUUGCGAGAAGGAAAUAUAGUGAACAGUGUGAACCUUGGUAGAGAAAAUGGCCCUGCUUUCUUCUUCCUUUAGUAACUUAGACUGUUGUUGAAAGACCUUUCUUCAUUGCUAUGUGGGAUUGUGAUGUGACAGAAGUAGAGCUCUGAUCAUUGAAAACAAAAACAGCUGCUUCUCUGCAGGGAAUUCAGAGAAAGUAGGGUAGGUUGCAAAACAGCCAAGGUUGUCCUUUUGCACUACAUGGAUUAUAAGUUAUUUUGUGGGGUGCAAGGGAGGUAAGAAAAGACAAUGAAAAUAGAUCAUGUACUUGAAAUAUCUGGUUAAUCUUAAUUUAAACUGCUAGAUUAUCUAAAAAUAAUUUUUUCAAGACAGGUUAGGGACUCAGGAAUGGAAAUGCAGUAAAAGACCACCUAUAUUUAGAAACCAUCCUAAGCUCUGUCCCUGUGACGAGUUAGAUUGGUACUUGUAUUAGGUGAGCGUUUGAACUCUUAUUACCAAGUUGAUCAUAAUUGAUUUGUUCCACUGUAAUCACCUGUCUGGGAUGGGGCAAACAUGCAGAGACAGAUUCAUUGUUGAUUGUCUAUUCAACUACGAAUCAAACAGUCCAUUAUGUUCAAUGUCAUAUAAAGCCUCAUAAAAUAAUAGUGGAGGUUCUCAGUACAUUUUGGGACCAAUACUUUCUAUUUAAUUUUAACCCUUUUUGUCUCUGCUUUGUGUCAUUCCACAUGAAUGCUGUCUUCCUUGCACCAGAAGGUAGAUAUUUGAUUUUAACAUUUCCAUGUGUCAUCUUUAGAAGUGUAUCAGGACAGACCUUGAUUCAGUUCUUUAACAGUCUACAAAGCUCAAGUUAAAUACAUGGAGCUAACAUGUACCCAGUGAAUAUAAAGUAUUAAUCAGAUGGGAAUCAUGGCAUUUACUACCUAAAAAUAUAACUUAGUCAGGUGAGCAAUAUUAUGGCCCAAAUUUUGCAAUUGUAAUGAUGGCAAAACUACCUGUGUUCACUGUCGUUAUAACUGAAACUGAUAGCAAUUUGCAACAUCUGCAAUGGAAAUACUGAAGCUGCUGUCAGUGAUCCUGCUCCUCUGUAUGGUGUGCUCUUCAAGUCCUUGCAGAUGAAAUCUUAGAAAUCAUUAGAAUUGACAUGAAUUUCCACUUUUAUGCUUUUAGUCACGCUGUAAAAACAUUGUAAAGUUAUACCUUGUUGAAAGGUGUAACCAGGUUUUUAAACAGCAUACUAAGUCAUUAAUGCUGAAAAAUCUCUCUCGACUUGUAAAUCUAAUUUUAAUUUCUGGAAUGCCAAAUGUGUCUCAAAAAUAAUUCCAUAGAUUUAAAAAAAAAGUUGUUUUAUAUUUCAGUUUCUACCAUAAUCCCAAUCUUUCUUCACUCUCUAUGAGAUGAUUAAAGGGGAAGGAUAAUCAGUGCUUUGUACUUCUGCUUUCUUGUCUGUGAAAAUUCUUCAGUGUAAUUGGCUGCAUAGCCUGCUUGAUUACAUCAUUGCUGAACAUCAGAAAUUUGCCCACAGGUGGCAAGAGAAUUAAAUUAACAUUGGGAAUGUUGGAAUUCAUGCCAGAUAUCACUAAAGCGUUGUGGACAUCUUUCUUUAAAGUAAAUGGCAAAUGCUAUCACAAUCCUACUGACUGCAAAAUCUGGGUCUUUCUGCCUGGUGGCAUGAUGUUAACAGCACAGCAGCAUUGUCUGCUCACCAAUUGGGGGUGGGAGGGAGGAAAUGUUAUUUGUUAUUUUCUUCAGGUGAGCUUUGACUUCAAGACUGUUAUUGUAAUAUCCAAACAAUUGGAUAGUUUCAAAAUGUACUCAAUCUAAUGCCAGGACUGUAUGAUUACUGUUUUUUAUAAUUUGGUUGGCCAGUAAUGUGAUUAGUAGCUACAAGGUAUAAAAAUGCAUAAAUACUGUAAACUCAAAAGUUUUAGGUACAUUUACCAUUCGAUGAUUAAAAGAAACUGUGAAAAAUGCAGAUAUAUUACUGUUUACAUUGUAUAAACGGAUACAGUUGUAAUGAUCUGCAAUAAAGACAACUGGUCCAGAACUCCAC
Molecule: RNA transcript, 3758 nt
Organism: Carcharodon carcharias (great white shark)
Lineage: Eukaryota; Metazoa; Chordata; Chondrichthyes; Lamniformes; Lamnidae
Gene name: PRELI domain-containing protein 1, mitochondrial-like
Exons: 6
Source: RefSeq, a predicted model, not a curated record